RNAcentral lists this ribosomal RNA (1400 nucleotides) under Vibrio sp. RNAcentral describes it as "bacterial SSU rRNA". It matches the Rfam family "Bacterial small subunit ribosomal RNA". Lineage: Bacteria; Pseudomonadati; Pseudomonadota; Gammaproteobacteria; Vibrionales; Vibrionaceae. The record is from RNAcentral.
AGUUAUCUGAACCUUCGGGGAACGAUAACGGCGUCGAGCGGCGGACGGGUGAGUAAUGCCUAGGAAAUUGCCCUGAUGUGGGGGAUAACCAUUGGAAACGAUGGCUAAUACCGCAUGAUGCCUACGGGCCAAAGAGGGGGACCUUCGGGCCUCUCGCGUCAGGAUAUGCCUAGGUGGGAUUAGCUAGUUGGUGAGGUAAGGGCUCACCAAGGCGACGAUCCCUAGCUGGUCUGAGAGGAUGAUCAGCCACACUGGAACUGAGACACGGUCCAGACUCCUACGGGAGGCAGCAGUGGGGAAUAUUGCACAAUGGGCGCAAGCCUGAUGCAGCCAUGCCGCGUGUGUGAAGAAGGCCUUCGGGUUGUAAAGCACUUUCAGUCGUGAGGAAGGUAGUGUAGUUAAUAGCUGCAUUAUUUGACGUUAGCGACAGAAGAAGCACCGGCUAACUCCGUGCCAGCAGCCGCGGUAAUACGGAGGGUGCGAGCGUUAAUCGGAAUUACUGGGCGUAAAGCGCAUGCAGGUGGUUUGUUAAGUCAGAUGUGAAAGCCCGGGGCUCAACCUCGGAAUAGCAUUUGAAACUGGCAGACUAGAGUACUGUAGAGGGGGGUAGAAUUUCAGGUGUAGCGGUGAAAUGCGUAGAGAUCUGAAGGAAUACCGGUGGCGAAGGCGGCCCCCUGGACAGAUACUGACACUCAGAUGCGAAAGCGUGGGGAGCAAACAGGAUUAGAUACCCUGGUAGUCCACGCCGUAAACGAUGUCUACUUGGAGGUUGUGGCCUUGAGCCGUGGCUUUCGGAGCUAACGCGUUAAGUAGACCGCCUGGGGAGUACGGUCGCAAGAUUAAAACUCAAAUGAAUUGACGGGGGCCCGCACAAGCGGUGGAGCAUGUGGUUUAAUUCGAUGCAACGCGAAGAACCUUACCUACUCUUGACAUCCAGAGAACUUUCCAGAGAUGGAUUGGUGCCUUCGGGAACUCUGAGACAGGUGCUGCAUGGCUGUCGUCAGCUCGUGUUGUGAAAUGUUGGGUUAAGUCCCGCAACGAGCGCAACCCUUAUCCUUGUUUGCCAGCGAGUAAUGUCGGGAACUCCAGGGAGACUGCCGGUGAUAAACCGGAGGAAGGUGGGGACGACGUCAAGUCAUCAUGGCCCUUACGAGUAGGGCUACACACGUGCUACAAUGGCGCAUACAGAGGGCGGCCAACUUGCGAAAGUGAGCGAAUCCCAAAAAGUGCGUCGUAGUCCGGAUUGGAGUCUGCAACUCGACUCCAUGAAGUCGGAAUCGCUAGUAAUCGUGGAUCAGAAUGCCACGGUGAAUACGUUCCCGGGCCUUGUACACACCGCCCGUCACACCAUGGGAGUGGGCUGCAAAAGAAGUAGGUAGUUUAACCUUCGGGGGGACGCU